CCUACGGGUGGCAGCAGUGAGGAAUCUUGGUCAAUGGACGAGAGUCUGAACCAGCCAAGUAGCGUGAAGGAUGACUGCCCUAUGGGUUGUAAACUUCUUUUAUAUGGGAAUAAAAUGUUCCACGUGUGGGAUUUUGUAUGUACCAUAUGAAUAAGGAUCGGCUAACUCCGUGCCAGCAGCCGCGGUAAUACGGUGGAUCCGAGCGUUAUCCGGAUUUAUUGGGUUUAAAGGGAGCGUAGGUGGAUUGUUAAGUCAGUUGUGAAAGUUUGCGGCUCAACCGUAAAAUUGCAGUUGAAACUGGCAGUCUUGAGUGCAGUAGAGGUGGGCGGAAUUCGUGGUGUAGCGGUGAAAUGCUUAGAUAUCACGAAGAACUCCGAUUGCGAAGGCAGUUCACUGGACUGCAACUGACACUGAGGCUCGAAAGUGUGGGUAUCAAACAGGAUUAGAUACCCCUGUAGUC
Molecule: ribosomal RNA, 460 nt
Filed under: uncultured bacterium
Lineage: Bacteria
Description: partial 16S ribosomal RNA
Rfam family: Bacterial small subunit ribosomal RNA
Source: RNAcentral